UUAAACGANUGNGCCGUCGUUAGCUCUAGUUUAGGCGUGUCGUUCUAUAAGGACUCACNNNUUGGCGCUGUCCGUUCUCUANAAGAGUCUGAUCCUGGCUCAUGCUGGAUCACCUCCUUAGAGUUUGAUCCUGGCUCAGGCUGGAUCACCUCCUUAAGUUGAUCAUAAGAGCUACAAGUGUAUAGAGAUACAACCUACCUAUAAGAAGUAUAUUAGAUACAUAAGGCUACAGAUNUNGAACAGCUUGGCAGNGCAAGAGCUAUAAACACAUAAGCAAAGUACAGAGCAGAGAGAGAAAAGAGGGUAAAGCAUAUUAGCUUAACCCUAAACCCCUAAAGCGAGCAAGAGAACAGNGGUGAUAAUGUUAAGAAUCUGCUU
This 378-nucleotide small RNA is filed under the name uncultured bacterium. Its description in RNAcentral is "partial may contain 16S ribosomal RNA and 16S-23S ribosomal RNA intergenic spacer". The record is from RNAcentral.